CUUGUUGCUUUCAUAACUGCAGGCUCGACUCGUAUUAGUUAUGGGAUGACGGGACUACUAAGAUUGCGCAGUGAAAAUGAUAGUUACCUUA
RNAcentral lists this non-coding RNA (91 nucleotides) under Perkinsus chesapeaki. The record is from RNAcentral. Lineage: Eukaryota; Perkinsozoa; Perkinsida; Perkinsidae.